AUGGACAUCUUCGAUGAGUUCUGUGUUGGCUCCAUUGAUCUUGGGCGCCUCAAUUAUGGGAUCAUCUCUCUCAUCCCCAAGGUCCCUGGGUCCGACAUCCGUCAGUUUCGCCCGAUCACGGUGAUUAAUGUGAUCUUCCGGAUCCUGGCCAAAGGGUACGCCAAUAGGGUGACCCUGCUGGCUGACCGGGUGACUCAUCCUAACCAGUCGGCCUUCAUUAAGGACCGGUACAUCCUGGAUGGGGUCCUUGUCCUUCAUGAAGUCCUUCAUGAAGUCCGCAUCAAACGCCUCAAGGUGGUUUUUCUGAAGAUUGAUUUCCACAAGGCGUACGAUACGGUUAGCUGGUCCUUUCUCUGA
Molecule: ribosomal RNA, 357 nt
Filed under: Triticum aestivum (bread wheat)
Lineage: Eukaryota; Viridiplantae; Streptophyta; Magnoliopsida; Poales; Poaceae
Description: partial small subunit ribosomal RNA
Source: RNAcentral